AUGUUCAACGGAGCUCUGACGACCACCCUCAAACUAGUCGACCGCAAGUGCGUGCUCCUCUUCUUUGAUGACAUCCUCGUGUUCAGCAAGACUCUACGAGACCACAUCAAUCACCUGCGACAAGUGCUGCAACUUUUGCACCGAGACCAAUGGCACGUGAAGAUGUCCAAGUGCGAGUUCGGCCAGCACAGCCUAUCAUACCUGGGACACGUCAUCAGCGAUCAAGGGGUAUCCACGGAACCAACCAAGAUACAAGCAGUAUCCAACUGGACGACUCCAACUGAUGUCAAAGCAGUCCGCAACUUCUUGGGGCUCGCUGGGUACUAUCGAAGAUUCGUCAGGAAUUUUGGGAUCAUAGCUCGUCCACUGUUCAACCUUCUGAAAUAA
Molecule: ribosomal RNA, 387 nt
Filed under: Triticum aestivum (bread wheat)
Lineage: Eukaryota; Viridiplantae; Streptophyta; Magnoliopsida; Poales; Poaceae
Description: partial small subunit ribosomal RNA
Source: RNAcentral